RNAcentral lists this ribosomal RNA (817 nucleotides) under Scedosporium apiospermum. RNAcentral's name for it is "eukaryotic LSU rRNA". It matches the Rfam family "Eukaryotic large subunit ribosomal RNA", at positions 76 to 918 of the family's 3401-position model. Lineage: Eukaryota; Fungi; Ascomycota; Sordariomycetes; Microascales; Microascaceae. The record is from RNAcentral.
UGCCUCAGUAACGGCGAGUGAAGCGGCAACAGCUCAAAUUUGAAAUCUGGCGGCCUCUGGGCCGUCCGAGUUGUAAUUUGAAGAGGAUGCUUUUGGCGAGGCGCCUUCCGAGUGCCCUGGAACGGGACGCCACAGAGGGUGAGAGCCCCGUAUGGUUGGACGCCGAGCCUCUGUAAAGCUCCUUCGACGAGUCGAGUAGUUUGGGAAUGCUGCUCAAAAUGGGAGGUAAACCCCUUCUAAAGCUAAAUACUGGCCAGAGACCGAUAGCGCACAAGUAGAGUGAUCGAAAGAUGAAAAGCACUUUGAAAAGAGAGUUAAAUAGCACGUGAAAUUGUUGAAAGGGAAGCGCUUGCGACCAGACUUGUGCCCGUCGAAUCAGCCGCCGCUCGCCGGCGGCGCACUUCGGCGGGCUCAGGCCAGCAUCAGUUCGCUGCAGGGGGAGAAAGGCGGCGGGAAUGUGGCUCUUCGGAGUGUUAUAGCCCGCCGCGCAAUACCCCUCGGCGGACUGAGGACCGCGCAUCUGCAAGGAUGCUGGCGUAAUGGUCGUCAGCGACCCGUCUUGAAACACGGACCAAGGAGUCGUCCUAAUAUGCGAGUGUUCGGGUGUAAAACCCCUGCGCGUAAUGAAAGUGAACGGAGGUGAGAGCUUCGGCGCAUCAUCGACCGAUCCUGAUGUUCUCGGAUGGAUUUGAGUAAGAGCAUAUUGGGCCGGACCCGAAAGAAGGUGAACUAUGCCUGUAUAGGGUAAAGCCAGAGGAAACUCUGGUGGAGGCUCGCAGCGGUUCUGACGUGCAAAUCGAUCGUCAAAUAUGGGCAU